Molecule: ribosomal RNA, 1467 nt
Filed under: uncultured Treponema sp.
Lineage: Bacteria; Pseudomonadati; Spirochaetota; Spirochaetia; Treponematales; Treponemataceae
Description: bacterial SSU rRNA
Rfam family: Bacterial small subunit ribosomal RNA
Source: RNAcentral
AACGAACGCUGGCGGCGCGUCUUAAGCAUGCAAGUCGGACGGCAAGAAGGGGCUCGCCCCUUCCUAGAGUGGCGGACUGGUGAGUAACGCGUGGACGACGCGCCCACCCGACGGGGACAGCCGGUAGAAAUACCGGAUAAUACCGGAUGAUCUCUUUUGGAACAAAGGCGAAAGAGGAAAGCGGCUUCGGCCGCGCGGGUGGAGCGGUCCGCGUCCUAUCAGCUAGUCGGCGGGGUGAAGGCCCGCCGAGGCGACGACGGGUAUCCGGCCUGAGAGGGUGGACGGACACAUUGGGACUGAGAUACGGCCCAGACUCCUACGGGAGGCAGCAGCUAAGAAUAUUCCGCAAUGGGGGGAACCCCGACGGAGCGACGCCGCGUGGACGACGAAGGCCGGAAGGUUGUAAAGUCCUUUUUUCCGCGAGGAAUAAGGCCGGGAGGGAAUGCCCGGCCGGUGACGGUAGCGGAGGAAUAAGCACCGGCUAAUUACGUGCCAGCAGCCGCGGUAACACGUAAGGUGCGAGCGUUGUUCGGAAUCAUUGGGCGUAAAGGGCAUGCAGGCGGCCGUGCAAGCCCGGCGUGAAAUGGCGGGGCCCAACCCCGUCACUGCGCUGGGAACUGCAUGGCUAGGGUCGCCGAGGGGCAGCCGGAAUUCCAGGUGUAGGGGUGAAAUCUGUAGAUAUCUGGAAGAACACCGAUGGCGAAGGCAGGCUGCCAGCGGACGACCGACGCUGAGGUGCGAAGGCGCGGGGAGCGAACAGGAUUAGAUACCCUGGUAGUCCGCGCAGUCAACGAUGUACACUAGGUGUCUGGCAACAAAGCUGGGUGCCAAAGCAAACGUGGUAAGUGUACCGCCUGGGGAGUAUGCCCGCAAGGGUGAAACUCAAAGGAAUUGACGGGGGCCCGCACAAGCGGUGGAGCAUGUGGUUUAAUUCGAUGGUACGCGAGGAACCUUACCUGGGUUUGACAUAGUACUUAAGUUCGUAGAGAUACGGAUGCGUAGCAAUACGAAGUACAACAGGUGGUGCAUGGCUGUCGUCAGCUCGUGUCGUGAGAUGUUGGGUUAAGUCCCGCAACGAGCGCAACCCCUGUCCUUUGUUGCCAGCGCGUAAAGGUGGGCACUCAAAGGAGACUGCCGCGGAGAACGCGGAGGAAGGCGGGGAUGACGUCAAGUCAUCAUGCCCCUUAUGACCUGGGCUACACACGUACUACAAUGGGGCGGACAGAGAGCAGCGAGAGGGCGACCUUAAGCGAACCUCAAAAACCGUUUCUCAGUUCGGAUUGCAGGCUGCAACUCGCCUGCAUGAAGUCGGAAUCGCUAGUAAUCGCAGGUCAGCAUACUGCGGUGAAUACGUUCCCGGGUCUUGUACACACCGCCCGUCACACCAUCCGAGUUGGGGGUACCCGAAGUCGCUUGUCUAACCUGCAAAGGAGGACGGUGCCGAAGGUACGCUUGGUAAGGAGGGUG